RNAcentral lists this long non-coding RNA (5961 nucleotides) under Ananas comosus (pineapple). RNAcentral describes it as "long non-coding RNA (ACOM_LNC021715)". The record is from RNAcentral. Lineage: Eukaryota; Viridiplantae; Streptophyta; Magnoliopsida; Poales; Bromeliaceae.
AUUGGACUUCCCAAGCCACCUAACCGCUCCUUACGCCCGAAUCCGCUAGAUGCCCGACCCGCCAGAGCCGCCUAGAACCCGAUCGCCUCCUUAAUACGCGCCUUGUCGGAUCGCCACCUCCUCUGUCCCUCUUCUAAACUUCGUCUCCUCAUACCUGCGCCUUCCAUACUGCCACCGACUCCCUCGCCCUCCUCAUCGACGGCCGAUGCUUCCCCACCUGAGGCUUGAGACAAAGAAGAAAGCUAAGCUCCUCUCUCCUUCUUUUUAUUACACUAAUUCCUUCUACUGCUGCUACUAAUCCCCUUUCUCCUACUUAACAGGUGUAACAAUCCCCCCUACUAAGACGAUCCUUGCCCUCAAGGAUCAAAAGAGGGAUACUGACUUUUGAGGAACCUCUGAUCUUCCCAUGUUGCAAGCUCCUUGGGAAGGUUUGCCCAUUUUACCAAGACUUCGGUCGUGGCCCUGUUUCCGUGCUCCACUGUUCUCUUCUCCAGUACUUCCUCUGGUUCUGCUAUUAAUUCCUCCUCUUCUCCGAUGGAUGGUUCCGUCGGGGACGCCUGAACUGCAAGUGGGGGGCUUUUCUUUAAUAGAGAAACGUGGAACACUGGGUGAACCCUUGAUCCUUCUGGUAACUGUAGCCUAUACGCAACUGGUCCGAUACGCUCCAGUAUCUUGAAAGGACCAAAGAAUCGUGCCGAAAGUUUAAUAUUUUUCCUUAUCGCCACCGUUGUCUGUCGAUAGGGUUGUAAUUUAAGAUAGACCCAAUCUCCCACCGCGUACUCUCUUUCCUUCCUAUGUUUGUCUUCUUGUUGCUUCAUCCUAUUCUGGGCUACCUGGAGUCGAUCCCUCAGCUCUCGAGUCAAUUGUUCUCUGUCCGUUCUCCACCCCUUAAACUCCUGAGAAGUAGCCAUAUCCAAGGAGAUCACCAGAUGAUUUGGGGGUGGUUUACCGUAUAGCGCCUCAUAAGGGGUCAUACCGAUGGAAGAGUGAAAGCUAGUAUUAUACCACCAUUCUGCUAAGGCUAACCAGGCGUGCCAUUUUUUUGGAUGCUGAAAGCACAUGCACCUCAAAUACGUUUCUAAGCACCUGUUAACUCUUUCAGUUUGGCCGUCGGUUUCCGGAUGAUAAGCUGAGCUCAUGUGUAGCUUCGUUCCCAUUGACUGAAACAGUUCUUUCCAAAAUUGGCUCACAAAAAUUUUGUCCCUGUCAGAAAUUAUUCUCUUCGGGCAUCCAUGAAGCCUAUAAACCGUCCCCAUAAAAGCCUUGGCUACGUCUGAAGCGGAGAAGGGAUGUUUCAAGGCUAUGAAGUGCGCGUAUUUAGUGAGUCGAUCAACCACUACCAUUAUCGUAUCUUUACCCUCUGAUUUAGGUAACGACUCUAUGAAAUCCAUGCUUACAUCUUCCCAAACCUGAUGAGGAAUAGGCAGUGGUUGUAAUAAGCCAGCGUAAGGAGUCCCGUCCACCUUGUUUUGAGCGCAGACCGUGCAAUUCUUAACCCAGUCCUCCGUUUCUUUUUUUAACCCGAUCCAAAAAAAAUGUUGUUUAACCCUCCGGUAAGUAUUUUGUAUUCCAGAGUGGCCCCCCAAGGCUGAGUUAUGCAUUUGAUCCAAAAUUCGUUUUCUUAAAGGCCCAGCCUCUCCAAUGUACAACUUACCUUUGUAGCGCAACAAUGAAUUGCCAUAUGAGUAUUGACCCUGAGGGGCGGUCUGCAGGAUUAACUCGCUUAUUACUUUCUCACAAUAACUAUCCCCUCGAUAACUCUCCAGCACCUCUUGUACCCAGUCGGGAAUUGCUGCGGUGAUGGCCAAAGAAACCCCUUCUGUUUCCACUCUCCUGGACAGUGCAUCAGCCGCGACAUUCUCUCUCCCUUUCUUAUAUUGUAUGGAAUAAUUAAGCCCCAUCAACUUUAACAUCCCCUUUUGUUGCAUUGGCGUCGAUAUCCUUUGCUCCAACAAGUGUUUCAAGCUCUCAUGAUCUGUUUUUAUCACAAAAGGGUUGGCAUUUAAGUAAUGUUUCCACUUUUGCACAGCCAUGAGUAUUGCCAAAAAUUCCUUUUCGUACGUUGAUAACCCAAGAUGCUUUCCGCCAAUUGCUUUGCUCAAAUAUGCUAUCGGUCUCCCUUCUUGUGACAUUAUGGCCCCUAUCCCUGUACCGCAAGCAUCAACUUCUAUAGUGAAAGGUUUACCAAAAUCCGGCAUGGCUAAUACUGGAGCUCUAGUCAUCGCCGUCUUCAACUCUUCAAACGCUGAUUGGGUUUCCUUGUUCCAAUGGAACUGAUCCUUCUUAAGUAGCUCGGUCAAUGGUUUGCUAAUCCUUCCGUACCCUCUGAUGAACUUCCUAUAGUACCCGGUGAGACCCAAGAACCCCCGGAGUUCCUUAACGGAUCUGGGUAUCGGCCAUCUUGUCAUAGCUUCGAUCUUCGAUGGAUCCGUGGCUACCCCUGCGGCAGAGAUAAUGUGGCCAAGGUACUCUACUUUGUUCUGCCCAAAGUAACAUUUGCUUCUCUUGGCAUAGAACCUGUGCUUCCUCAAUUCUUCUAGUGUGAUGCACAAAUGCUUCGUAUGCUCCUCCAACCCUUUGCUAUAGAUUAGUAUGUCAUCAAAAAAUACCAAAAUAAACUUUCGUAGGUAGGGUUCAAACGUACAAUUCAUAAUGGCUUGGAAUGUUGCCGGAGCGUUGGUAAGGCCAAAGGGCAUAACCCGAAAUUCAUAGUGUCCCUGGUGCGUUCGGAAUGCUGUCUUAGGAAUAUCCGACGGUUCCAUCCUAAUCUGGUGAUAGCCGGACCGUAGAUCUAUCUUCGAAAAAUGUGUUGCGCCUCCCAAUUCAUCCAACAGAUCGUCGAUGAUAGGAAUGGGGAAUUUAUCCUUAACAGUGGAUUUGUUCAGUUGCCGGUAAUCAAUGCACAUCCUCCAACUCCCGUCUUUCUUUUUAACCAGUAAAGCAGGUGAGGCGAACGGACUGUUACUCCUCUGUAUUAUCGAGCUACCCAAUAAUUCUCUUAUCUGCUUCUCAAGCUCCUCCUUUUGCUCAUGUGAAUAUCUAUACGGCCUUACGUUAAUUGGAGCGGUGCCCGGCUGCAGCAAGAUUCUGUGGUCCUGGACGCGGGAUGGUGGUAUUCCUUUCGGUUCUUCGAAAACAUCCGAGUAAUGCUCCAACACCUGCUGAAUGCAAGGAGGGAUUUCUGCCUCAGCUUCGGUUUUGUUGGACACCGUUUGAUGGCUUAUCAAAUAACACUCCCCGGUACUCAUUUCUUGAUUCCAUUGGGCUGCAGUAAUCAAUUUCAGUUUAGCUCCCUCUUCAAUCCCCUUCAAUUCCAACUUCUGGCCUUCCUUCAUUAUAGUCACAGAGUUUACCAAAAAAUCGAAGGUCACCCUCCCGUAGGAUUUAAGCCAGUCGAUGCCUAACACUACACUGACCCCUUCGAUUCGAAUUACCCUUAAGUCUGCUACAAACCUCUGCCCUUGCAUUACCCAUGAGAAUUCGGGACAUUUGAGCUUGCUUAACAUUUUGUGUCCGUCAGCUAUGGUUACCACCAAAGGUGAAGUUGCUUCCAUUCUCGCUCCGACUUCCUUAGCUACCCUUAAGUCGAUGAAACUAUGCGUGCUUCCGGUAUCGAUUAGAAGGGUGAGUGUUCUACCUUUUGCUUCGCCCCGUAUUUUUAUGGUGUCUUGAGGCUUCUCUCCAUUCAGCACAUGAACCGAAACUCCGAUUUCUUGCGCCUCUCCGCCAUCAGGUAUAGUCCCCGGCUCUUGCUCCCCUUCUCCUGUGACUCCGUUACUCAUUUCUUCUUGCAAACAAUCUUCGUCGUAAACUUCGAUAAUUUCCUCGGUUGCCUGUAAAGUGUUCAAUGAUUUAUUUGUGCACACAUGCCCCGGAUGGUACCUUUCUCCACAUCUGAAGCAUAGCCCUGCUGCCCAACUUUGCUCAAUGAGCUGUUUGUCGACUGGGUACUGAUUUGCAUGAUUCCUGGAUGAUGUUUGGUACGGAGAUUUUGAAUUCUCACUAACCUUAGUAACUCCGAUCCCUCGGUUGCCUCUGUAUGACGAGCCUGAUUGGUACGGACCUCCAGAUCCCUUAGGUACAUACUUGUUUCUUCUAGUAAGUGCGGCUAUGGCUUUUUCAUGCAAUUGCGCUUGUUCAUAAGUCUCUUCCAAUGUAUUCGGAUGGGCGAUGUCUAAGAAGUGAACCAGCUCAUCUUUGAGACCGUUAAUGUAGCAUGCAAUGAAGUACUCUUCGGUCAAAUGCGGAUUAUAGUAAAGUAGUUGGAACCUCAACUCCUCGAAUUUUUCCUGGUAUGCCUCACAUGUUCCUGUUUGCUUCAAGUUACUGAAUUCACGGAUCAGAUAUCUCUCCCCUGUUGGCGCAAACCUCCGACAUAUCGCUUCAAAAAUUCAUCCCAAGAUACCAUCUGUUUAUUGAUGAAGUACCCCUGCUUCCAUGUCUUCGCCUUACCGUUUAAAUGCAUCGUCGCCACACUCAGCCAUUGAUGUUGAGGUAUCUGGUAUAGCUCAAAGUAUUGUUCGCAGUUUUCGAUCCAAUUCCUGGGAUCUUCUCCAUCAAAUGACGGAAAAUCCAAACGAGGGUAGGGCAAGUGAUGAUGGUUGAAAUUUCGAUUACCCCACGGUGAAAUGUGUUCUUCUUCCGUCUCAGGCGGUUUGCUUGGAGUCGGUAAAAUUCCCUUGCCUUUCCCUUCUCUGAUUGUUAAUGGUGUGCUACUACUUCCAGGUUUGAACUUGCGGUCGGAAAAAGGCGCUUCACCUUGAUUCUUGAGGGCAGGCGGCUGAGCGGUUAUAAGCUUCAGCAUCUCCUCAUGCCUCCUGUUGGCUUCGGCUUGCAGUGACUCAAACUGCUUCUGCCCGGUGUCCCUCACUUCGGCUAUUUGUUGGGUGAGUGCUUCUACAUUGGCCCGAUGCUCAAUUCCCAGUCUCUGAUAAUUCUCUUCCAAAGAAUGGAUAUGAUCGCUAAUAUCUCGCAACCGUGUUCCUUCGGCCAUUUCUAUUUCUUCCAAGUAUUCUUUCGGAUUAAAUUUAAAUUUGUUGCCUCGCUUGCCCCCAAUCUUGUUGCGAUGAUGAAACCCCCCGUCUCGGUGGGUGCUCUGAAUGAAAACUUGGGUGCCUUGUGAUUAAGCGAUCUGAGGAGUGGGGGUCUCUUCCUCGGAUCAACGGAUAAUCUCAGGUUAUUUGUGGUGAUUUCUUUUGUCCAACUCUGAUCUCAAUGCAGAAUCGGCAGCGCAGAAAUCUGAUUCGCGAUUAAACUCAACAAUGUUGAGAUUGGAGUUAGAAAGCGAUUUUACCACAUAGGACUGGGAUCGUACCGCUCUGAUACCAAUUGUUACGUACCUGACUCGGCGCAACCCGUCGAUGACGAUAUAUCGCUGAGAUGAAGGACGGCGUCGAGGAUGAUGUUGCACGUAACAGCUUGCCUCGGAAAUAAUCGGAUUAGGAUUGGAGUACUCGGAUAAAAUAGAUGAGAAGAAUAGAACGAGAGAAUAGAGGAGAUAAGAAGAGGUAGGAUUAAGAAGAGGGAUUAAGAGAAUAGGAGAUGAUAAGAAGGAAGAAAUUUCAUUAAUUUUUGCCUAAAAAAAACAUCCUUGUUACACCCUGCUCUCUUUAUUCAUAAUACUAAACAAACCCUAAGUCUAAGUGGACUUCCCAAGCCACCUAACCGCUCCUUACGCCCGAAUCCGCUAGAUGCCCGACCCGCCAGAGCCGCCUAGAACCCGAUCGCCUCCUUAAUACGCACCUUGUCGGAUCGCCACCUCCUCUGUCCCUCUUCUAAACUUCGUCUCCUCAUACCUGCGCCUUCCAUACUGCCACCGACUCCCUCGCCCUCCUCAUCGACGGCCGAUGCUUCCCCACCUGAGGCUUGAGACAAAGAAGAAAGCUAAGCUCCUCUCUCCUUCUUUUUAUUACACUAAUUCCUUCUACUGCUGCUACUAAUCCCCUUUCUCCUACUUAACAG